RNAcentral lists this ribosomal RNA (700 nucleotides) under Pseudoalteromonas sp. Rep_2_12. RNAcentral's name for it is "bacterial SSU rRNA". It matches the Rfam family "Bacterial small subunit ribosomal RNA", at positions 69 to 766 of the family's 1533-position model. Lineage: Bacteria; Pseudomonadati; Pseudomonadota; Gammaproteobacteria; Alteromonadales; Pseudoalteromonadaceae. The record is from RNAcentral.
AACAGAGAGUAGCUUGCUACUUUGCUGACGAGCGGCGGACGGGUGAGUAAUGCUUGGGAACAUGCCUUGAGGUGGGGGACAACAGUUGGAAACGACUGCUAAUACCGCAUAAUGUCUACGGACCAAAGGGGGCUUCGGCUCUCGCCUUUAGAUUGGCCCAAGUGGGAUUAGCUAGUUGGUGAGGUAAUGGCUCACCAAGGCGACGAUCCCUAGCUGGUUUGAGAGGAUGAUCAGCCACACUGGGACUGAGACACGGCCCAGACUCCUACGGGAGGCAGCAGUGGGGAAUAUUGCACAAUGGGCGCAAGCCUGAUGCAGCCAUGCCGCGUGUGUGAAGAAGGCCUUCGGGUUGUAAAGCACUUUCAGUCAGGAGGAAAGGUUAGUAGUUAAUACCUGCUAGCUGUGACGUUACUGACAGAAGAAGCACCGGCUAACUCCGUGCCAGCAGCCGCGGUAAUACGGAGGGUGCGAGCGUUAAUCGGAAUUACUGGGCGUAAAGCGUACGCAGGCGGUUUGUUAAGCGAGAUGUGAAAGCCCCGGGCUCAACCUGGGAACUGCAUUUCGAACUGGCAAACUAGAGUGUGAUAGAGGGUGGUAGAAUUUCAGGUGUAGCGGUGAAAUGCGUAGAGAUCUGAAGGAAUACCGAUGGCGAAGGCAGCCACCUGGGUCAACACUGACGCUCAUGUACGAAAGCGUGGGG